UGAGGCAGCCAUAUCACCCUGUAGCCCAAGACUGGUUACCCACUGAAGCUGAGCCUGGUCAGUACCUGGAUGGGAGACCUCCUGGGAAAACUAGGUUGCUGCUGGAA
RNAcentral lists this ribosomal RNA (107 nucleotides) under Sinocyclocheilus anshuiensis. Lineage: Eukaryota; Metazoa; Chordata; Actinopteri; Cypriniformes; Cyprinidae. The record is from RNAcentral.